RNAcentral lists this ribosomal RNA (355 nucleotides) under uncultured bacterium. RNAcentral describes it as "bacterial SSU rRNA". It matches the Rfam family "Bacterial small subunit ribosomal RNA", at positions 30 to 389 of the family's 1533-position model. The record is from RNAcentral.
AUUGAACGCUGGCGGCAUGCCUUACACAUGCAAGUCGAACGGCAGCACGGGAGCAAUCCUGGUGGCGAGUGGCGAACGGGUGAGUAAUACAUCGGAACGUGCCCAGUAGUGGGGGAUAGCCCGGCGAAAGCCGGAUUAAUACCGCAUACGACCUAUGGGUGAAAGCGGGGAUCGCAAGACCUUGCGCUAUUGGAGCGGCCGAUGUCAGAUUAGCUAGNGGUGGGGUAAAGCCUACCAAGGCGACGAUCUGUAGCUGGUCUGAGAGGACGACCAGCCACACUGGGACUGAGACACGGCCCAGACUCCUACGGAGGCAGCAGUGGGGAAUUUUGGACAAUGGGCGCAAGCCUGAUCC